ACCAGACUCCUACGGGAGGCAGCAGUGGGGAAUAUUGCACAAUGGGGGAAACCCUGAUGCAGCGACGCCGCGUGAGCGAUGAAGUAUUUCGGUAUGUAAAGCUCUAUCAGCAGGGAAGAAGAUGACGGUACCUGACUAAGAAGCCCCGGCUAACUACGUGCCAGCAGCCGCGGUAAUACGUAGGGGGCAAGCGUUAUCCGGAUUUACUGGGUGUAAAGGGAGCGUAGACGGCGAUGCAAGCCAGAUGUGAAAGCCCGGGGCUCAACCCCGGGACUGCAUUUGGAACUGUGUGGCUGGAGUGUCGGAGAGGCAGGCGGAAUUCCUAGUGUAGCGGUGAAAUGCGUAGAUAUUAGGAAGAACACCAGUGGCGAAGGCGGCUUGCUGGACAGUAACUGACGUUGAGGCUCGAAAGCGUGGGGAGCAAACAGGAUUAGAUACCCCCGUAAA
RNAcentral lists this ribosomal RNA (447 nucleotides) under uncultured bacterium. RNAcentral describes it as "bacterial SSU rRNA". It matches the Rfam family "Bacterial small subunit ribosomal RNA", at positions 330 to 794 of the family's 1533-position model. The record is from RNAcentral.